AUAAAACUAAUUAAAAUAACUAAAUUUCUUCCCAAUAAGGACCUGGUGUGCAGUGGUGGCAAACAGCAGUCUCCUGGGUAGGGUAUGAAGCCUGUUGCCUAUACGAGUUGCCCUAUGGUAUCUUGGAGAGAAUU
Small nucleolar RNA from Rattus norvegicus (Norway rat), 134 nucleotides. Ensembl annotates it as small nucleolar RNA SNORA70. The record is from Ensembl. Lineage: Eukaryota; Metazoa; Chordata; Mammalia; Rodentia; Muridae.